RNAcentral lists this long non-coding RNA (1333 nucleotides) under Capra hircus (goat). RNAcentral describes it as "lncRNA (ENSCHIG00000005284.1)". Lineage: Eukaryota; Metazoa; Chordata; Mammalia; Artiodactyla; Bovidae. The record is from RNAcentral.
GACCUGAUUGGCAGGAUCCAAAGGAACGUUCUCUCCAGCUCCCAAGGAGCCAACGGGAGACAGAGAAGCUUGGUCAAACCCUCGCCUUGUGCAGAGGACAGAGGAGACCCAGGACACCGAGGGUAAUUGGGGCAGCCUCACCAGCUGAGUGCCUCUCUCCUGCUUCCAAGGCUUCCACAUUCCAGAUCUGUUUCUCAGCAAAUUCACAGGUACUGGCCAGAAACAAGGGUCGCAUUUGGGUGUCACGGUCAGGCAGGUUUGCUUUUAAAUCCAGGCUUUGCCUUGUUGCUUGUGCAGCUAUACGUGCAUGACCUAACCACUGAACAGUAAAUUCUCUGCAGCACAAAGGGCUUGGCCAAACGCCACAGCUAGGAAACUUCAGCCCAGCUUCCAUCUGCGUUAGAUCGCCUUAAGGUGACCCCUGCCCUGGGACUGAAUUCUUGCUCAAGAAAGUGCAAUGUUGUCAUAUUGCAAAAUCCACAUUGUCCCAACCUACCCUUCCAAACCAUUUCCAGUAAUUCUCCUUCAUCCCCUUCUGUAAUUGCUCAUUUUCCCUAUAACCCACCUAGUUCCUUCUUUCUUACCUCGUUUCAUUCCCUAUAACCUCCUUUUCUGACUCCCUCUCUGUUCUCCAUUAACCUCAGUUAUCUUUGUAUUAGCUGGAGCUGACCUGUUUAUGGUGGAAUCUCUGUCCUCUAUGCAGAAGUCUGAAUAAAAUCUAUCUUGCCAUCAGUAAGACAUGUCCAGCCCCAUUUUUCUUUGACGAGAUUCGGCUUCCUGACCUGGAAAAUGGAGAUGUGAGUGUUAUUCUUCUGUACAUUACUCUGUGAUUACGACUACACUCACAGUAACAGGUGGUGGGGCCAUUUGGACUGUUUCCUGAAGCAGAAACCACAUUCGUUAAGUGUGCAAAUGUUGAUGGCGUACUGACUAGGAGAAAGACUCCCAGGUACACAAAAGCAAAAGCAACAGUUGAAAGUGGAACCGUUUGUCUCAGAUUGGGACUUGAAUCCAUGUGGCUGGGACUUGAACCCAGCUUAAACCCAGAGUGCCUGGUCUCAGGACCUAAUGAAGCUCAGGCUCUUGAUGUCUCAUUGCAGAAAGAAUUCAGUGAGAGACAAAGUGAUAGGUAAGAAGCGGAUUUAUUUGAAGAGGAACAUACUCCACAGACAGGGUGUGGACUAUCUCAGAUGGUGAGUCUGGCCACCUCAAAAUGUGGUGUGGUUCAUUUUUAUGGGCUGGGUAAUUUCAUAGGCUAAUGAGUGAGAGGAUUAGUCCAGCUAUUUUGGGGAAGUGGUGGAGAUUUCCAGGAGCUGGGCUACUGCUCACUUUU